UUGCUUUGGCAACAAAUAACUUAAAAUGGGAAUGAUACAGAGAAGAUACCUAUGGCCUCUGCACAAGGAUGACAUGCAAAUUAGAGAAGUAUUCCUUAUUUUU
Molecule: small nuclear RNA, 103 nt
Organism: Gracilinanus agilis (Agile Gracile Mouse Opossum)
Lineage: Eukaryota; Metazoa; Chordata; Mammalia; Didelphimorphia; Didelphidae
Source: RefSeq, a predicted model, not a curated record